RNAcentral lists this transfer RNA (72 nucleotides) under Maridesulfovibrio hydrothermalis AM13 = DSM 14728. Its description in RNAcentral is "Desulfovibrio hydrothermalis AM13 = DSM 14728 Pseudo tRNA". It matches the Rfam family "tRNA", at positions 13 to 71 of the family's 71-position model. From Rfam's summary of the family: Transfer RNA (tRNA) molecules are approximately 80 nucleotides in length. Their secondary structure includes four short double-helical elements and three loops (D, anti-codon, and T loops). Further hydrogen bonds mediate the characteristic L-shaped molecular structure. tRNAs have two regions of fundamental functional importance: the anti-codon, which is responsible for specific mRNA codon recognition, and the 3' end, to which the tRNAs corresponding amino acid is attached (by aminoacyl-tRNA synthetases). tRNAs cope with the degeneracy of the genetic code in two manners: having more than one tRNA (with a specific anti-codon) for a particular amino acid; and 'wobble' base-pairing, i.e. permitting non-standard base-pairing at the 3rd anti-codon position. The record is from RNAcentral. Lineage: Bacteria; Pseudomonadati; Thermodesulfobacteriota; Desulfovibrionia; Desulfovibrionales; Desulfovibrionaceae.
GAAACAGGCAGAAAGAGUAACGCCGGCCUGUCACGCCGGAGGCCGAGGGUUCGAGUCCCUUCGGCUCCGCCA